AGCGUACACGGUGGAUGCCUAGGCAGUCAGAGGCGAUGAAGGGCGUGCUAAUCUGCGAUAAGCGUCGGUAAGCUGAUAUGAAGCGUUAUACCCGACGAUACCCGAAUGGGGAAACCCAAUGUGUUUCGACACAUUAUCAUGACAUGAAUACAUAGUGUCAUGAGGCGAACCGGGGGAACUGAAACAUCUCAGUACCCCGAGGAAAAGAAAUCAACCGAGAUUCCCCUAGUAGCGGCGAGCGAACGGGGAGGAGCCCAGAACCUGAAUCAGUUUGUGUGUUAGUGGAAGCGUCUGGAAAGUCGCACAGUAAAGGGUGAUAGUCCCGUACACAAAAAUGCACAAGUUGUGAGUUCGAUGAGUAGGGCGGGACACGUGACAUCCUGUCUGAAUAUGGGGGGACCAUCCUCCAAGGCUAAAUACUCCUGACUGACCGAUAGUGAACCAGUACCGUGAGGGAAAGGCGAAAAGAACCCCGGCGAGGGGAGUGAAAUAGAACCUGAAACCGUGUACGUACAAGCAGUGGGAGCCUACUAGUUGGGUGACUGCGUACCUUUUGUAUAAUGGGUCAGCGACUUAUAUUCUGUAGCAAGGUUAACCGUAUAGGGGAGCCGCAGGGAAACCGAGUCUUAACUGGGCGUUAAGUUGCAGGGUAUAGACCCGAAACCCGGUGAUCUAGCCAUGGGCAGGUUGAAGGUUGGGUAACACUAACUGGAGGACCGAACCGACUAAUGUUGAAAAAUUAGCGGAUGACUUGUGGCUGGGGGUGAAAGGCCAAUCAAACCGGGAGAUAGCUGGUUCUCCCCGAAAGCUAUUUAGGUAGCGCCUCGUGAACUCAUCUUCGGGGGUAGAGCACUGUUUCGGCUAGGGGGUCAUCCCGACUUACCAACCCGAUGCAAACUACGAAUACCGAAGAAUGUUAUCACGGGAGACACACGGCGGGUGCUAACGUUCGUCGUGAAGAGGGAAACAACCCAGACCGCCAGCUAAGGUCCCAAAGUCAUGGUUAAGUGGGAAACGAUGUGGGAAGGCACAGACAGCCAGGAUGUUGGCUUAGAAGCAGCCAUCAUUUAAAGAAAGCGUAAUAGCUCACUGGUCGAGUCGGCCUGCGCGGAAGAUGUAACGGGGCUAAACCAUGCACCGAAGCUGCGGCAGCGACACUUAGGUGUUGUUGGGUAGGGGAGCGUUCUGUAAGCCGUUGAAGGUGGCCUGUGAGGGUUGCUGGAGGUAUCAGAAGUGCGAAUGCUGACAUAAGUAACGAUAAUGCGGGUGAAAAACCCGCACGCCGGAAGACCAAGGGUUCCUGUCCAACGUUAAUCGGGGCAGGGUGAGUCGACCCCUAAGGCGAGGCUGAAAAGCGUAGUCGAUGGGAAACAGGUUAAUAUUCCUGUACUCGGUGUUACUGCGAAGGGGGGACGGAGAAAGCUAGGUUAUCCGGGCGACGGUUGUCCCGGUUUAAGCGUGAAGGUGGAUGACUUAGGUAAAUCCGGGUCAUUGUUAACACUGAGGCGUGAUGACGAGUCACUACGGUGAUGAAGUAACCGAUGCUACGCUUCCAGGAAAAGCCUCUAAGCUCCAGGUAACAUCAAAUCGUACCCCAAACCGACACAGGUGGUCAGGUAGAGAAUACUCAGGCGCUUGAGAGAACUCGGGUGAAGGAACUAGGCAAAAUGGUGCCGUAACUUCGGGAGAAGGCACGCUCCUGUCGGUGAAGUCCCUUGCGGAUGGAGCUGGCGGGAGUCGCAGAUACCAGCUGGCUGCAACUGUUUAAUAAAAACACAGCACUGUGCAAACACGAAAGUGGACGUAUACGGUGUGACGCCUGCCCGGUGCCGGAAGGUUAAUUGAUGGGGUCAGCCGCAAGGCGAAGCUCUUGAUCGAAGCCCCGGUAAACGGCGGCCGUAACUAUAACGGUCCUAAGGUAGCGAAAUUCCUUGUCGGGUAAGUUCCGACCUGCACGAAUGGCGUAAUGAUGGCCAGGCUGUCUCCACCCGAGACUCAGUGAAAUUGAACUCGCUGUGAAGAUGCAGUGUACCCGCGGCAAGACGGAAAGACCCCGUGAACCUUUACUAUAGCUUGACACUGAACCUUGAGCCUUGAUGUGUAGGAUAGGUGGGAGGCUUUGAAGCGAGGACGCCAGUUCUUGUGGAGCCAACCUUGAAAUACCACCCUUUAAUGUUUGAUGUUCUAACGUAGACCCGUAAUCCGGGUUGCGGACAGUGUCUGGUGGGUAGUUUGACUGGGGCGGUCUCCUCCCAAAGAGUAACGGAGGAGCACGAAGGUUAGCUAAUCCUGGUCGGACAUCAGGAGGUUAGUGCAAAGGCAUAAGCUAGCUUGACUGCGAGAGUGACAGCUCGAGCAGGUGCGAAAGCAGGUCUUAGUGAUCCGGUGGUUCUGAAUGGAAGGGCCAUCGCUCAACGGAUAAAAGGUACUCCGGGGAUAACAGGCUGAUACCGCCCAAGAGUUCAUAUCGACGGCGGUGUUUGGCACCUCGAUGUCGGCUCAUCACAUCCUGGGGCUGAAGUAGGUCCCAAGGGUAUGGCUGUUCGCCAUUUAAAGUGGUACGCGAGCUGGGUUUAGAACGUCGUGAGACAGUUCGGUCCCUAUCUGCCGUGGGCGUUGGAAGAUUGAGAGGGGUUGCUCCUAGUACGAGAGGACCGGAGUGAACGCACCACUGGUGUACGGGUUGUGAUGCCAAUUGCAUUGCCCGGUAGCUAAGUGCGGAAGAGAUAACCGCUGAAAGCAUCUAAGCGGGAAACUUGCCUCGAGAUGAGUCUUCCCUGGGCACUAGAUGCCCCUGAAGGGCCGUUGA
Molecule: ribosomal RNA, 2809 nt
Filed under: Pectobacterium peruviense
Lineage: Bacteria; Pseudomonadati; Pseudomonadota; Gammaproteobacteria; Enterobacterales; Pectobacteriaceae
Description: bacterial LSU rRNA
Rfam family: Bacterial large subunit ribosomal RNA
Source: RNAcentral